RNAcentral lists this ribosomal RNA (1002 nucleotides) under Triticum aestivum (bread wheat). Its description in RNAcentral is "partial small subunit ribosomal RNA". The record is from RNAcentral. Lineage: Eukaryota; Viridiplantae; Streptophyta; Magnoliopsida; Poales; Poaceae.
AUGCCCAAUGCACUAUCUUUUUCCUGCAUCUUCUCCCCACAAAAACUGCCUGAUGGCCUUCAUUGCCGUCAGAGGAAAACAGGGGUCACGGCAGAUUGCAAGGGGUCCAAUAAGAGGGGCAAGUGCCCUCUCAGAUACUGCAAGAGUUGCAUAUGUAACAGGUACCCUUUGAUUGCGGAUGAGGUGUUGAAGAAGGAGGCCUGGGAAUGCCCCAAAUGCAGGAAUGACUGCAACUGCAGUAGGUGCAAAACUAGGAAAGGGGAGGCGCCGACGGGGCGAAUGGUCCGUGCUGCCAAGAGGCCGAAGGUCAACCUGGUACGAACUGAGAGCAAUGAUGCUCUCAAGGAUGAAAUAGUUGUACCCAGGGGUACUCUCGUGACUUGCAUUGCAGGUAUGAAGCUGCAGUAUGAAGAUGUUGGUGCUGCUAUUCAAUUUCUGGAGUUCUGCCGCUCAUUUGGCAAGAUCUGCAAAAUAGGGAAGGGGCAACCAGAAGAAACUCUCAGACACUUAACUCAACACAAAGAGGUGUCUUCAGUUGUUGCUGACGUUCACAUAAAUCUUCUGUCUGUCAUAGAAAAUGGCAAACUCAACCGUUCUGAUAAGUAUCCAAGACAUGGAGAUGAAUGGAUAAGGAAAGUAGGCGAGUACAUCUCUUUGACAUUCCAUGCAGAAGAUUUCACCCUUCGGUGCUUAAAUCAGGGGGUAUCAGGAUAUAGAAGUCUGAACCCUUCUUGUAAGCUGGAGGUUCUGAAUUGUCUGUGUGAUGAGGCAUUGUCUUCUGAAAAGUUGAGGACCUGCAUUGACAAUAAAGAUAGAAAAUGUGUGGCCACACAAGAAAUCAAAGCUGCAACCAGAAAGCAAAAGGAGCUAAAAAGAAGAUACGAUGACAUGACUAAAACAAUCCAAGGAGGAGAUACUGCUAACAAUGAGGAAGCUAAUGAUAUCCUUUCUCAAAUAAAGGAAGCAGAAGAAGUCAAGCAGGCUGCCCAGAAUGGUCUGUGA